Molecule: non-coding RNA, 46 nt
Organism: Gorilla gorilla gorilla (western lowland gorilla)
Lineage: Eukaryota; Metazoa; Chordata; Mammalia; Primates; Hominidae
Source: Rfam
CCAAAGGCUCUUUUCAGAGUCAUCAUUAUUCCUGAUGACUAAAAAG